RNAcentral lists this ribosomal RNA (496 nucleotides) under uncultured bacterium. Its description in RNAcentral is "partial 16S ribosomal RNA". It matches the Rfam family "Bacterial small subunit ribosomal RNA", at positions 29 to 507 of the family's 1533-position model. The record is from RNAcentral.
AUGAACGCUGGCGGCGUGCCUAAUACAUGCAAGUCGAGCGAACGGACGAGAAGCUUGCUUUUCUGAUGUUAGCGGCGGACGGGUGAGUAACACGUGGAUAACCUACCUAUAAUACUGGGAUAACUUCGGGAAACCGGAGCUAAUACCGGAUAAUAUUUUGAACCGCAUGGUUCAAAAGUGAAAGACGGUCUUGCUGUCACUUAUAGAUGGAUCCGCGCUGCAUUAGCUAGUUGGUAAGGUAACGGCUUACCAAGGCAACGAUGCAUAGCCGACCUGAGAGGGUGAUCGGCCACACUGGAACUGAGACACGGUCCAGACUCCUACGGGAGGCAGCAGUAGGGAAUCUUCCGCAAUGGGCGAAAGCCUGACGGAGCAACGCCGCGUGAGUGAUGAAGGUCUUCGGAUCGUAAAACUCUGUUAUUAGGGAAGAACAUAUGUGUAAGUAACUGUGCACAUCUUGACGGUACCUAAUCAGAAAGCCACGGCUAACUACGUG